This 1392-nucleotide ribosomal RNA is filed under the name metagenome. RNAcentral's name for it is "bacterial SSU rRNA". It matches the Rfam family "Bacterial small subunit ribosomal RNA". The record is from RNAcentral.
AGAGUUUGAUCCUGGCUCAGGACGAACGCUGGCGGCGCGCCUAACACAUGCAAGUCGAACGAGCGAGAGAGAGUUUACUUUCUCGAGCGAGUGGCGAACGGGUGAGUAACGCGUGAGGAACCUGCCUCAAAGAGGGGGACAACAGUUGGAAACGACUGCUAAUACCGCAUAAGCCCACGACCCGGCAUCGGGUAGAGGGAAAAGGAGCAAUCCGCUUUGAGAUGGCCUCGCGUCCGAUUAGCUAGUUGGUGAGGUAACGGCCCACCAAGGCGACGAUCGGUAGCCGGACUGAGAGGUUGAACGGCCACAUUGGGACUGAGACACGGCCCAGACUCCUACGGGAGGCAGCAGUGGGGAAUAUUGCACAAUGGGGGAAACCCUGAUGCAGCGACGCCGCGUGGAGGAAGAAGGUCUUCGGAUUGUAAACUCCUGUUGUUGAGGAAGAUAAUGACGGUACUCAACAAGGAAGUGACGGCUAACUACGUGCCAGCAGCCGCGGUAAAACGUAGGUCACAAGCGUUGUCCGGAAUUACUGGGUGUAAAGGGAGCGCAGGCGGGAAGACAAGUUGGAAGUGAAAUCCAUGGGCUCAACCCAUGAACUGCUUUCAAAACUGUUUUUCUUGAGUAGUGCAGAGGUAGGCGGAAUUCCCGGUGUAGCGGUGGAAUGCGUAGAUAUCGGGAGGAACACCAGUGGCGAAGGCGGCCUACUGGGCACCAACUGACGCUGAGGCUCGAAAGUGUGGGUAGCAAACAGGAUUAGAUACCCUGGUAGUCCACACUGUAAACGAUGAUUACCAGGUGUUGGAGGAUUGACCCCUUCAGUGCCGCAGUUAACACAAUAAGUAAUCCACCUGGGGAGUACGACCGCAAGGUUGAAACUCAAAGGAAUUGACGGGGGCCCGCACAAGCAGUGGAGUAUGUGGUUUAAUUCGACGCAACGCGAAGAACCUUACCAAGUCUUGACAUCCUGCGACGGUUCUGGAAACAGAACUUUCCUUCGGGACGCAGAGACAGGUGGUGCAUGGUUGUCGUCAGCUCGUGUCGUGAGAUGUUGGGUUAAGUCCCGCAACGAGCGCAACCCUUAUGGUCAGUUACUACGCAAGAGGACUCUGGCCAGACUGCCGUUGACAAAACGGAGGAAGGUGGGGAUGACGUCAAAUCAUCAUGCCCUUUAUGACUUGGGCUACACACGUACUACAAUGGCGUUAAACAAAGAGAAGCAAGACCGCGAUACGAUCAAAUCCUUAAAGCCUGUCUCAGUUCGGACUGGGGUCUGCAACCCGACCCCACGAAGCUGGAUUCGCUAGUAAUCGCGCAUCAGCCAUGGUGCGGUGAAUACGUUCCCGGGCCUUGUACACACCGCCCGUCACACCAUGAGAGCCGGGGGGACCC